GGGGGAACUUGGCCGGCGUCCCGUCGGCCACGAGCUCCUCCAGUGGCUUCAGCACGAUCUUGUCUUUGGGAGGCUCGCAGAAGACCGCCCAGGAGAUGCGCACCUUCUCCUUGUUGACGAGCCCGCGGUGGAGGAUGCUCUUGUACUGCCCAUUGCUCAGGAUCUCGAGGCAGUCUCCGACGUGCAUGAUGAUGGAGUCCGGCACGCAUUUGGCGGUGACCCACCUGCCGCCGUAGUAGAUCUGCAGCCCCGGCACCAUGUUGUGGAGGAUGAAGGAGAGCGCGCUGAUGUCGGUGUGCGCCUCGACGCCGAGGGCGAGAUCGGGCUGUGGGCAGAUAGGGUAGUAGUUGAUCUUCAACUGCAUCAGCAGGUCCUCCAUCCCUCCGAGUUCCCUGUCCAGCUUCCCCUCUUCCAGUCCAAGACCCAGGGAAAGAACUUCCAGCAUCUUGGUGACCACCGCCCUCAGCUGCCUCCC
RNAcentral lists this long non-coding RNA (475 nucleotides) under Musa acuminata (dwarf banana). RNAcentral describes it as "long non-coding RNA (MACU_LNC002371)". Lineage: Eukaryota; Viridiplantae; Streptophyta; Magnoliopsida; Zingiberales; Musaceae. The record is from RNAcentral.